GAAGGGAGCUUGCUCCCGGAUGUUAGCGGCGGACGGGUGAGUAACACGUGGGUAACCUGCCUGUAAGACUGGGAUAACUCCGGGAAACCGGAGCUAAUACCGGAUAGUUCCUUGAACCGCAUGGUUCAAGGAUGAAAGACGGUUUCGGCUGUCACUUACAGAUGGACCCGCGGCGCAUUAGCUAGUUGGUGGGGUAAUGGCUCACCAAGGCGACGAUGCGUAGCCGACCUGAGAGGGUGAUCGGCCACACUGGGACUGAGACACGGCCCAGACUCCUACGGGAGGCAGCAGUAGGGAAUCUUCCGCAAUGGACGAAAGUCUGACGGAGCAACGCCGCGUGAGUGAUGAAGGUUUUCGGAUCGUAAAGCUCUGUUGUUAGGGAAGAACAAGUGCGAGAGUAACUGCUCGCACCUUGACGGUACCUAACCAGAAAGCCACGGCUAACUACGUGCCAGCAGCCGCGGUAAUACGUAGGUGGCAAGCGUUGUCCGGAAUUAUUGGGCGUAAAGGGCUCGCAGGCGGUUUCUUAAGUCUGAUGUGAAAGCCCCCGGCUCAACCGGGGAGGGUCAUUGGAAACUGGGAAACUUGAGUGCAGAAGAGGAGAGUGGAAUUCCACGUGUAGCGGUGAAAUGCGUAGAGAUGUGGAGGAACACCAGUGGCGAAGGCGACUCUCUGGUCUGUAACUGACGCUGAGGAGCGAAAGCGUGGGGAGCGAACAGGAUUAGAUACCCUGGUAGUCCACGCCGUAAACGAUGAGUGCUAAGUGUUAGGGGGUUUCCGCCCCUUA
This 787-nucleotide ribosomal RNA is filed under the name Bacillus sp. CUA-858. RNAcentral's name for it is "bacterial SSU rRNA". It matches the Rfam family "Bacterial small subunit ribosomal RNA", at positions 71 to 842 of the family's 1533-position model. Lineage: Bacteria; Bacillati; Bacillota; Bacilli; Caryophanales; Bacillaceae. The record is from RNAcentral.